GGUUAAGCGACUAAGCGUACACGGUGGAUGCCCUGGCAGUCAGAGGCGAUGAAGGACGUGCUAAUCUGCGAAAAGCGUCGGUAAGGUGAUAUGAACCGUUAUAACCGGCGAUGUCCGAAUGGGGAAACCCAGUGUGUUCCGACACACUAUCAUUAACUGAAUCCAUAGGUUAAUGAGGCGAACCGGGGGAACUGAAACAUCUAAGUACCCCGAGGAAAAGAAAUCAACCGAGAUUCCCCCAGUAGCGGCGAGCGAACGGGGAGGAGCCCAGAGCCUGAAUCAGUGUGUGUGUUAGUGGAAGCGUCUGGAAAGGCGCGCGAUACAGGGUGACAGCCCCGUACACAAAAAUGCACAUAUUGUGAGCUCGAUGAGUAGGGCGGGACACGUGGUAUCCUGUCUGAAUAUGGGGGGACCAUCCUCCAAGGCUAAAUACUCCUGACUGACCGAUAGUGAAGCAGUACCGUGAGGGAAAGGCGAAAAGAACCCCGGCGAGGGGAGUGAAAAAGAACCUGAAACCGUGUACGUACAAGCAGUGGGAGCCCUGAUUUAUCAGGGUGACUGCGUACCUUUUGUAUAAUGGGUCAGCGACUUAUAUUCUGUAGCAAGGUUAACCGAAUAGGGGAGCCGGAGGGAAACCGAGUCUUAACUGGGCGUUAAGUUGCAGGGUAUAGACCCGAAACCCGGUGAUCUAGCCAUGGGCAGGUUGAAGGUUGGGUAACACUAACUGGAGGACCGAACCGACUAAUGUUGAAAAAUUAGCGGAUGACUUGUGGCUGGGGGUGAAAGGCCAAUCAAACCGGGAGAUAGCUGGUUCUCCCCGAAAGCUAUUUAGGUAGCGCCUCGUGAAUUCAUCUCCGGGGGUAGAGCACUGUUUCGGCAAGGGGGUCAUCCCGACUUACCAACCCGAUGCAAACUGCGAAUACCGGAGAAUGUUAUCACGGGAGACACACGGCGGGUGCUAACGUCCGUCGUGAAGAGGGAAACAACCCAGACCGCCAGCUAAGGUCCCAAAGUCAUGGUUAAGUGGGAAACGAUGUGGGAAGGCCCAGACAGCCAGGAUGUUGGCUUAGAAGCAGCCAUCAUUUAAAGAAAGCGUAAUAGCUCACUGGUCGAGUCGGCCUGCGCGGAAGAUGUAACGGGGCUAAACCAUGCACCGAAGCUGCGGCAGCGACGCUGAUGCGUUGUUGGGUAGGGGAGCGUUCUGUAAGCCUGUGAAGGUGGCCUGUGAGGGUUGCUGGAGGUAUCAGAAGUGCGAAUGCUGACAUAAGUAACGAUAAAGCGGGUGAAAAGCCCGCUCGCCGGAAGACCAAGGGUUCCUGUCCAACGUUAAUCGGGGCAGGGUGAGUCGACCCCUAAGGCGAGGCCGAAAGGCGUAGUCGAUGGGAAACAGGUUAAUAUUCCUGUACUUGGUGUUACUGCGAAGGGGGGACGGAGAAGGCUAUGUUGGCCGGGCGACGGUUGUCCCGGUUUAAGCGUGUAGGCUGGUUUUCCAGGCAAAUCCGGAGAAUCAAGGCUGAGGCGUGAUGACGAGGCACUACGGUGCUGAAGCAACAAAUGCCCUGCUUCCAGGAAAAGCCUCUAAGCAUCAGGUAACAUCAAAUCGUACCCCAAACCGACACAGGUGGUCAGGUAGAGAAUACCAAGGCGCUUGAGAGAACUCGGGUGAAGGAACUAGGCAAAAUGGUGCCGUAACUUCGGGAGAAGGCACGCUGAUGGUAGGUGAAGCGACUUGCUCGUGGAGCUGAAAUCAGUCGAAGAUACCAGCUGGCUGCAACUGUUUAUUAAAAACACAGCACUGUGCAAACACGAAAGUGGACGUAUACGGUGUGACGCCUGCCCGGUGCCGGAAGGUUAAUUGAUGGGGUCAGCGCAAGCGAAGCUCUUGAUCGAAGCCCCGGUAAACGGCGGCCGUAACUAUAACGGUCCUAAGGUAGCGAAAUUCCUUGUCGGGUAAGUUCCGACCUGCACGAAUGGCGUAAUGAUGGCCAGGCUGUCUCCACCCGAGACUCAGUGAAAUUGAACUCGCUGUGAAGAUGCAGUGUACCCGCGGCAAGACGGAAAGACCCCGUGAACCUUUACUAUAGCUUGACACUGAACACUGGUCCUUGAUGUGUAGGAUAGGUGGGAGGCUUUGAAGUGUGGACGCCAGUCUGCAUGGAGCCGUCCUUGAAAUACCACCCUUUAAUGGCUGGUGUUCUAACGUGGGCCCGUAAUCCGGGUUGCGGACAGUGUCUGGUGGGUAGUUUGACUGGGGCGGUCUCCUCCUAAAGAGUAACGGAGGAGCACGAAGGUUAGCUAAUCUUGGUCGGACAUCAGGAGGUUAGUGCAAAGGCAUAAGCUAGCUUGACUGCGAGAGUGACGGCUCGAGCAGGUGCGAAAGCAGGUCUUAGUGAUCCGGUGGUUCUGUAUGGAAGGGCCAUCGCUCAACGGAUAAAAGGUACUCCGGGGAUAACAGGCUGAUACCGCCCAAGAGUUCAUAUCGACGGCGGUGUUUGGCACCUCGAUGUCGGCUCAUCACAUCCUGGGGCUGAAGUAGGUCCCAAGGGUAUGGCUGUUCGCCAUUUAAAGUGGUACGCGAGCUGGGUUUAGAACGUCGUGAGACAGUUCGGUCCCUAUCUGCCGUGGGCGCUGGAGAACUGAGGGGGGCUGCUCCUAGUACGAGAGGACCGGAGUGGACGCAUCACUGGUGUUCGGGUUGUCAUGCCAAUGGCAUUGCCCGGUAGCUAAAUGCGGAAAAGAUAAGUGCUGAAAGCAUCUAAGCACGAAACUUGUCCCAAGAUGAGUUCUCCCUGACUCUUUAAGAGUCCUGAAGGAACGUUGAAGACGACGACGUUGAUAGGCUGGGUGUGUAAGUGUAGCGAUACAUUGAGCUAACCAGUACUAAUGAACCGUGAGGCUUAACCUU
This 2905-nucleotide ribosomal RNA is filed under the name Escherichia albertii. RNAcentral describes it as "23S ribosomal RNA". It matches the Rfam family "Bacterial large subunit ribosomal RNA". The record is from RNAcentral. Lineage: Bacteria; Pseudomonadati; Pseudomonadota; Gammaproteobacteria; Enterobacterales; Enterobacteriaceae.